AUACUUACCUGGCAGGGGAGAUACCUUGACCAUGAAGAAGGUUUUCCCAGGGUGAGGCUCAGCCUGCGAUUUCCCCAGGUGUGGGAAACUCGACUGCCUAUUUUGUGGUAGUGGGGGACCAAGUGUGUGCUUUUCCCUAA
RNAcentral lists this small nuclear RNA (140 nucleotides) under Salvator merianae (Argentine black and white tegu). RNAcentral's name for it is "U1 spliceosomal RNA (ENSSMRG00000018117.1)". It matches the Rfam family "U1 spliceosomal RNA". Rfam says of the family: U1 is a small nuclear RNA (snRNA) component of the spliceosome (involved in pre-mRNA splicing). Its 5' end forms complementary base pairs with the 5' splice junction, thus defining the 5' donor site of an intron. The record is from RNAcentral. Lineage: Eukaryota; Metazoa; Chordata; Lepidosauria; Squamata; Teiidae.